Molecule: ribosomal RNA, 427 nt
Filed under: uncultured bacterium
Lineage: Bacteria
Description: partial 16S ribosomal RNA
Rfam family: Bacterial small subunit ribosomal RNA
Source: RNAcentral
UGGGGAAUAUUGCACAAUGGGCGCAAGCCUGAUGCAGCCAUGCCGCGUGUAUGAAGAAGGCCUUCGGGUUGUAAAGUACUUUCAGCGAGGAGGAAGGCGUUGUGGUUAAUAACCGCAACGAUUGACGUUACUCGCAGAAGAAGCACCGGCUAACUCCGUGCCAGCAGCCGCGGUAAUACGGAGGGUGCAAGCGUUAAUCGGAAUUACUGGGCGUAAAGCGCACGCAGGCGGUCUGUCAAGUCGGAUGUGAAAUCCCCGGGCUCAACCUGGGAACUGCAUCCGAAACUGGCAGGCUAGAGUCUUGUAGAGGGGGGUAGAAUUCCAGGUGUAGCAGUGAAAUGCGUAGAGAUCUGGAGGAAUACCGGUGGCGAAGGCGGCCCCCUGGACAAAGACUGACGCUCAGGUGCGAAAGCGUGGGGAGCAAACA